RNAcentral lists this ribosomal RNA (496 nucleotides) under uncultured Lachnospiraceae bacterium. RNAcentral's name for it is "partial 16S ribosomal RNA". Lineage: Bacteria; Bacillati; Bacillota; Clostridia; Lachnospirales; Lachnospiraceae. The record is from RNAcentral.
CACGUAGUUAGCCGGGGCUUCUUGGUCAGGUACCGUCAUCUUCUUCCCUGCCGAUAGGGCUUUACGCGCCGAAACGCUCCUUCACCCACGCGGCGUCGCUGCAUCAGGGUUCCCCCCAUUGUGCAAUAUCCCCCACUGCUGCCUCCCGUAGGAGUCUGGGCCGUGUCUCAGUCCCAGUGUGGCCGUCCACCCUCUCAAGCCGGCUACUGAUCGUCGCCUUGGUGAGCCGUUACCUUACCAACCAGCUAAUCAGACGCGGGUCCAUCCCAUAGCGAUAAAUCUUUCAAAACAGGACCAUGCGGUCCCGCUUUCCCAUGCGGUAUUAGCAGCCGUUUCCAGCUGUUGUCCCCCUCUAUGGGGCAGGUUACCCACGCGUUACUCACCCGUCCGCACUCAGUCAUCCCAUAUGCUUCCUUCCCCAGCAAGCUGGUUCUGUCCGCGGGUGGAUGCUUCGUUCGACUUGCAUGUGUUAGCACGCCGCAGCGUUCAUCCUGAG